AUGGUUAUCCAGGAGUUCGCCGUCGAUCUCAACAAGCCACUUGUUUUCCAGGUUGGCCACCUUGAGGAACAUUACCAGGAAUGGGUUCACCAGCCUGUCGUGAGCAAAGAAGGUCCACACUUUUUCGCAAAUGAUACCAUGGAGUUCUUGACACGCACAAAGUGGUGGGCUGUGCCAGUCAUAUGGCUACCUGCAGUCUGCUGGCUGUUUGCCAAGUCGAUACGGAUGGGUCACACCAUUCAGGAAGUAAUCCUGAUGGCCCUAUUUGGAGUGUUUGUGUGGACGUUGAUCGAGUACAGUUUGCACCGCUUCCUGUUCCACAUCGAGAGGAAAAGCUAUUGGUAA
Molecule: ribosomal RNA, 345 nt
Filed under: Triticum aestivum (bread wheat)
Lineage: Eukaryota; Viridiplantae; Streptophyta; Magnoliopsida; Poales; Poaceae
Description: partial small subunit ribosomal RNA
Source: RNAcentral